UCCNGACAAUGCCUGGGGUAAUUAGCUGAA
RNAcentral lists this non-coding RNA (30 nucleotides) under Rattus norvegicus (Norway rat). Lineage: Eukaryota; Metazoa; Chordata; Mammalia; Rodentia; Muridae. The record is from RNAcentral.